GAUCAUGGCUCAGGAUGAACGCUAGCGGCGGGCUUAGCACAUGCAAGUCGAGGGGCAGCAUAAUGGAUAGCAAUAUCUAUGGUGGCGACCGGCGCACGGGUGCGUAACGCGUAUGCAACCUACCUUUAACAGGGGGAUAACACUGAGAAAUUGGUACUAAUACCCCAUAAUAUCAUAGAAGGCAUCUUUUAUGGUUGAAAAUUCCGAUGGUUAGAGAUGGGCAUGCGUUGUA
Molecule: ribosomal RNA, 232 nt
Filed under: uncultured bacterium
Lineage: Bacteria
Description: partial 16S ribosomal RNA
Rfam family: Bacterial small subunit ribosomal RNA
Source: RNAcentral